GGCCUGAUGGUCUAGGAGUAUGAUUCGUUGUUAGGGCAUUUCCGCUUUUCGACGAGGUCCCGGGUUCAAUUCCCGGUCAGGCCC
Molecule: transfer RNA, 84 nt
Filed under: Lentinula boryana
Lineage: Eukaryota; Fungi; Basidiomycota; Agaricomycetes; Agaricales; Omphalotaceae
Description: tRNA-Pro
Source: RNAcentral